This is a long non-coding RNA of Etheostoma cragini (Arkansas darter), 295 nucleotides long. RefSeq lists it as uncharacterized. The record is from RefSeq and is a predicted model, not a curated record. The transcript has 2 exons. NCBI's taxonomy places the organism in Eukaryota, Metazoa, Chordata, Actinopteri, Perciformes, Percidae.
AAGAAUUAGGCAGCGAAUAUCCCGGAUCUCGACUGUCACAGAUUUCACUGACGCUGCUAAGCUUUGAAGAACUCUCAACCUGAGGAAUGGAAUUAUCUCGCUGAGUUGUGCAUGAUGCCCUGGAACAUUAGCGAUGUUGAAGACAGAAGGGUGUGACAUUUCACAGGAAGACAUCUGUGCCACCAGAUCCCUGGCUUGGUGAGGGAAAGUGUCACCCAUCAUACUGUAUCAGUGAUGGGCGCUCCUGGAAUAUGCAGACUGGGAGCCUAUGUCGCAUGUCGACUGAAAUUAAAUC